CCUACGGGUGGCAGCAGUGAGGAAUAUUGGUCAAUGGGCGCGAGCCUGAACCAGCCAAGCAGCGUGAAGGAUGACUGCCCUACGGGUUGUAAACUUCUUUUAUAAAGGAAUACAGUGAGGCACGUGUGCCUUUAUGUCUGUACUUUAUGAAUUAGGAUCGGCUAACUCCGUGCCAGCAGCCGCGGUAAUACGGAGGUUCCGAGCGUUAUCCGGAUUUAUUGGGUUUAAAGGGAGCGUAGAUGGGUUGUUAAGUCAGUUGUGAAAGUUUGCGGCUCAACCGUAAAAUUGCAAUUGAUACUGGCAGUCUUGAGUACAGUUGAGGUAGGCGGAAUUCGUGGUGUAGCGGUGAAAUGCUUAGAUAUCACGAAGAACUCCGAUUGCGAAGGCAGCUUACUAAACUGCCACUGACAUUGAUGCGCGAAAGUGUGGGUAUCAAACAGGAUUAGAUACCCGUGUAGUC
Molecule: ribosomal RNA, 460 nt
Filed under: uncultured bacterium
Lineage: Bacteria
Description: partial 16S ribosomal RNA
Rfam family: Bacterial small subunit ribosomal RNA
Source: RNAcentral